GCCACCUCUAGCACCACGAGCUGUCUACGACGAGGCCUUGCCUCCAUCGCCAUGCUCACCGUAUGGCACAUCUGGCGGCACUGUAAUGGCUGCGUGUUUGACAACGACUCGCCGGCCGUAGGACGCGCCGUGAGUAUGAUCCGAGAGGAGGCUAGGUUGUGGGCCCAUGCCGGCGGUGCAGGGCUUGCCCUGCUCUUGCCUGAGAUGUAG
This 210-nucleotide ribosomal RNA is filed under the name Triticum aestivum (bread wheat). RNAcentral describes it as "partial small subunit ribosomal RNA". Lineage: Eukaryota; Viridiplantae; Streptophyta; Magnoliopsida; Poales; Poaceae. The record is from RNAcentral.